UACAGAGGUGGCAAGCGUUGUUCGGAAUUACUGGGCGUAAAGGGCGCGUAGGCGGUUCGUUAAGUCCUGUGUGAAAUCCCCCGGCUCAACUGGGGAACUGCACAGGAACUAGCGGGCUUGAGUUCGGGAGAGGGAAGCGGAAUUCCGGGUGUAGCGGUAAAAUGCGUAGAUAUCCGGAGGAACACCGGUGGCGAAGGCGGCCCGCUGGGCAGGAAGAUGGAGCAAUCCAUCGGCUGACGCUGAGGCGCGACAGCGUGGGGAGCAAACAGG
This 270-nucleotide ribosomal RNA is filed under the name uncultured bacterium. RNAcentral describes it as "partial 16S ribosomal RNA". It matches the Rfam family "Bacterial small subunit ribosomal RNA", at positions 524 to 776 of the family's 1533-position model. The record is from RNAcentral.